Long non-coding RNA from Drosophila mauritiana, 293 nucleotides. RefSeq lists it as uncharacterized. The transcript is spliced from 3 exons. NCBI's taxonomy places the organism in Eukaryota, Metazoa, Arthropoda, Insecta, Diptera, Drosophilidae. The record is from RefSeq and is a predicted model, not a curated record.
AGGUGUUUUUGCAAUCGAUUAUGCAUCACGUUUAUUAUUAAAAAUUUUUUUUUUCACUUUUCUGAUGGAAGUACCAAGACAGAAUGAUUUAUGUUCCAAAUCCACAAUUUAUUUUACCUUUGAUUCAAUCGAAUGAAAUAAAUAGGUACAAUAAUUUACAUUACUGAGCUUUAACAUUGCUGAGGUGACUAUAGGGGGGCCAUGGAAAUGGAUGUAAAAUUAGAAAUUGGGUACAUUUGGUGGGAGGUAAUAUGGAGUUUUUUAGGUACAUUAGGUGAAAGCUAAUCUGGAGG